AAAUAACUAGCAAAUUCAUAAACGAUUGUUUUCAACAGCAGACAAACUGAAGUAAACAGACGCCAACGUCAGACUGAACUCAUGUCAACAGGAGACGUCAACUGAAACAAUAAUAAAAAAAAUGUAACAGGUGGCACCAGUAGGUGUCACUCUCCAUAGGCUGAGCCUCUAUAAAAGGGGAAGCUAGUAGGGUGGUAGCCAAGAGUUCACUUCCUGUGUCUGGGACCAGGGGUGUGGUCGAUCCAUACUGUUGGCUGGCUGGGGUAGGUUGGGAGGAAAAUGGUUUUUAAGUUUAUCUUUCUCAAUAUGUUUUUUGCUGAUUUGGUGUUUUUAUACAGGGCCGCAUUAACAGUAUUCCAGUGGUAGCGUUACCUGGGCGUGUGGUUGUUCGACGCCGCAGGGUUGUCACUGCUUCCUGCUGUCCUUUAGAGUUUGAUUUUCUUUUCUGUUAGUCUGCCUGGUUUGGAUUGUUUUUCUUUUUGAGUACUUGUGAGGGUGGACUAACAACUUUGCAUUUAUUUUGUUUUCUUUUCACUUCCUGUAUGCUUAUAUUCCUGCUACAUUUUAUAUAUUGGCACCUGUAUUUUAUUUAUAUACAAUAAAGCUUGGUAAAAUUAA
This is a long non-coding RNA of Fundulus heteroclitus (mummichog), 618 nucleotides long. RefSeq lists it as uncharacterized. The transcript is spliced from 2 exons. NCBI's taxonomy places the organism in Eukaryota, Metazoa, Chordata, Actinopteri, Cyprinodontiformes, Fundulidae. The record is from RefSeq and is a predicted model, not a curated record.